This is a regulatory RNA element of Nocardiopsis dassonvillei subsp. dassonvillei DSM 43111, 102 nucleotides long. It matches the Rfam family "Glycine riboswitch aptamer". From Rfam's summary of the family: This family represents the bacterial glycine riboswitch. Glycine riboswitches usually consist of two metabolite-binding aptamers domains with similar structures in tandem. The record is from Rfam. Lineage: Bacteria; Bacillati; Actinomycetota; Actinomycetes; Streptosporangiales; Nocardiopsidaceae.
UGACCCCGUACGGGAGAGUGCCCGCGUAUCCAGCGCGGGCCGCCGAAGGAGCAAUCCCUCCCCGAAGACAACCUCUCAGGCACAGCGGACCGUACGGGCGAG